GACGAACGCUGGCGGCGUGCUUAACACAUGCAAGUCGAACGGAAAGGCCCUGCUUUUGUGGGGUGCUCGAGUGGCGAACGGGUGAGUAACACGUGAGUAACCUGCCCUUGACUUUGGGAUAACUUCAGGAAACUGGGGCUAAUACCGGAUAGGAGCUCCUGCUGCAUGGUGGGGGUUGGAAAGUUUCGGCGGUUGGGGAUGGACUCGCGGCUUAUCAGCUUGUUGGUGGGGUAGUGGCUUACCAAGGCUUUGACGGGUAGCCGGCCUGAGAGGGUGACCGGCCACAUUGGGACUGAGAUACGGCCCAGACUCCUACGGGAGGCAGUAGUGGGGAAUAUUGCACAAUGGGCGGAAGCCUGAUGCAGCAACGCCGCGUGCGGGAUGACGGCCUUCGGGUUGUAAACCGCUUUCGCCUGUGACGAAGCGUGAGUGACGGUAAUGGGUAAAGAAGCAUCGGCUAACUACGUG
Molecule: ribosomal RNA, 468 nt
Filed under: uncultured bacterium
Lineage: Bacteria
Description: partial 16S ribosomal RNA
Rfam family: Bacterial small subunit ribosomal RNA
Source: RNAcentral